This 287-nucleotide unclassified non-coding RNA is filed under the name Hevea brasiliensis (rubber tree). Lineage: Eukaryota; Viridiplantae; Streptophyta; Magnoliopsida; Malpighiales; Euphorbiaceae. The record is from RNAcentral.
GGGAUGAGCAAGGACUCGAGGUUUCCUUCCAACAUUUCCACUACUCUGCUCAUUGGGGGUCGGUUUGAGGGAUCUGUUUGAAUGCACCACAAGCCUACUAUUACAAUCUUCCUUGCAUUUUCCUUGUCUUCUUGAUUCAUCAUGCCUUGCAAUCCAAGUUCUUUAUCUUGUUCAAGUUUAUUGUAUAUCAGGUGAGGAAAAUAUGUUUCACUGAUAUGUUCAGGAGAAGCUCCAACAUCAUCAUCAAUAAUAUUUUUUCCAGCAGCCAUUUCCAGAACCAACAUUCC